Mus musculus (house mouse) is the source of this 1406-nucleotide long non-coding RNA. RefSeq annotates it as predicted gene 12069. NCBI's taxonomy places the organism in Eukaryota, Metazoa, Chordata, Mammalia, Rodentia, Muridae. The transcript has 3 exons. The record is from RefSeq and is marked validated.
GUGUUUCUGCUGUGUGAGCUAGUAAUGGCAUCCACCCGCCUUUUCUCCUUAACACAGUUCUAUAAUUAAUGCAUGUUUCUUUGAUUCCACAUUUAUAUUUAACAGAAUUUAAAAGGUACAAAACGCGUUUUAAAGACGCUUCCUGUUCCCUUGUGAUUAUUCGGAGAACAGAGAAGCCAUGUAAGGAUUAUGAGAGGCGCUUGCAAGAAGGAGUGAAGGCUAUUGACAGACUCCCCAGAGCAGAAGCCACGUGAAGAGGAAGUUCACUGACUUGGAGACUCUUGCGCCACCUGCUGGUAGCUGGGAGGAGAGAAGCCCAACCUGCCAGGUCUCUUGGGCGACCCGACCUGAGAAGAACCACACCAGGGAGAUAGGGCAUCCACCUGAUCAUGGAUAGGAAAAUGUAGAGAAUCCAGAGAGCUUGCUGUGAAGCAAUGCCAACCACACAGCAAAUGCUACUUCAAUUACAGUUUUCCAGUUGCCCCUUAGAGCUCGGCCAUGAAGUGGUGGACAUAGUUUCAGUGAAUUCAAACUGGAUUCUAGAACAUAUUUUGAAUACAGAGUAAAUGACACUUCUUUUCUAGCCAUGGAAGAAUGGCCUUCUUACCACAGGUUGUUGGACUAGCACAUCUAUUUCACUGGGCUGAACUGUAUCUGUGUUUUUUCUACAGUUCUGAUCUCAGCCUUGCCUGAUGGCUGGAGAAAGCUUACUUCCUUUUACUUUUCUUCUUGCAUUGAAGAUUAUUGUUUUCACCCUCUAAAAGGAAUGAAUGCAAUGAUAUCAACUUGUCCUGCAUUAGCACCACCACAGAGUUGGAGAGAAAUCUGCUCACUGGGCACUCAGCCAGGGACUGUUGGUAUGACUGUCUCUGACCCAGUGCUCUAGGAGGCACAAUCACCAUAGAUUAAUCAGGGCACUUUUUAUCAGUGUACCUUCAUCUGCCAAGUAACUAUAAACUCUUCAAGACUAAGGCUCUACUUCAUCUCAACAACAAGAGUAAAAGACAAAAUGAAAAAAAAAAACUAUAUUAAUUAUCAUACAGAAUGGAGAUCUCUUUAGUUAAUAAUAACUGACUUGUCUAUGAGCAUGGAACCGAUACACAUAAAAUCCCUGAAAAUAUUUGUCUCCUCCAGAUACUUUCAUGAUUUCUAAUUAUAACUAUGGUAGCUUUUGUAUUAUGUAACAAGUCUAUGAGUGUGUUGGUCAACUAUUCAUUACUUUAACAAAAUACCCAAGAUAAUUGGCUCAUAGGAGACAAAGGUUUAGUUUGGCUUACAGUCUUUGAGGUCAAAAUCAAUAACUGGUUGACAUGCUUCUGAGUACUUAGUGAGGUAUGUAACAUGGUGAAGUGCAUGUGUAGAGUGCAGCUACUUGCCUCAUGUCUAGAAUGUGAAAAAAAAAAAAA